Molecule: ribosomal RNA, 417 nt
Filed under: uncultured Acholeplasma sp.
Lineage: Bacteria; Bacillati; Mycoplasmatota; Mollicutes; Acholeplasmatales; Acholeplasmataceae
Description: bacterial SSU rRNA
Rfam family: Bacterial small subunit ribosomal RNA
Source: RNAcentral
CGGGUUUUGGUACGAUCCCGACUCGUAUUUCCUGGAGACAAGAGAGUCAGUUCGGCUGGAUCGGUGACAGGUGGCUGCAUGGCUGUCGUCAGCUCGUGUCGUGAGAUGUUGGGUUAAGUCCCGUAACGAGCGCAACCCUUGUCCUUAGUUACCAGCACGUUAUGGUGGGCACUCUAAGGAGACUGCCGGUGACAAACCGGAGGAAGGUGGGGAUGACGUCAAGUCAUCGUGCCCCUUAUGACCUGGGCUACAAACGUGAUACAAUGGCUGGAACAAAGGGAUGCGAAGCAGUGAUGUGGAGCGGAACCCAUAAAAACAGUCUCAGUUCGGAUUGAAGUCUGCAACCCGACUUCAUGAAGUCGGAAUCGCUAGUAACCGCAGAUCAGCUACGUUGCGGUGAAUACGUUCCCGGGCCUU